RNAcentral lists this transfer RNA (73 nucleotides) under Vicugna pacos (alpaca). RNAcentral's name for it is "tRNA-Ala (AGC) (tRNA-Ala-AGC-512-1)". It matches the Rfam family "tRNA". From Rfam's summary of the family: Transfer RNA (tRNA) molecules are approximately 80 nucleotides in length. The record is from RNAcentral. Lineage: Eukaryota; Metazoa; Chordata; Mammalia; Artiodactyla; Camelidae.
GGAGGGUAUAGCUUAGUGGUAGAGUAUGUGCUUAGCAUGCACAAGGUCCUGGGUUCAAUCCCCAGUUCCUCCA